CUACGGGCCGCUCCAGUAGGGAAUCUUCCGCAAUGGGCGAAAGCCUGACGGAGCGACACCGCGUGAAGGAUGACGGCCUUAGGGUUGUAAACUUCUUUUCUGAGGGACGAAAAUCUGACGGUACCUCAGGAAUAAGCCCCGGCUAAUUACGUGCCAGCAGCCGCGGUAAUACGUAAGGGGCAAGCAUUAUCCGGAAUCAUUGGGCGUAAAGAGUCCGCAGGUGGUGUAGUAAGUCUGUCAUUAAAUACCAGUGCUUAACAUUGGUGCUGUGAUGGAAACUGCUACGCUAGAGGAUGGGAGAGGCAUAUGGAGUUGUGCAAGUAGGGGUAAGAUCCGUAGAUAUGCACAGGAACACCAAAAGCGAAGGCAGUAUGCUGGCCCAAUCCUGACACUCAGGGACGAAAGCGUGGGGAGCGAAACGGAUUAGAUACCCUCGUAGUC
RNAcentral lists this ribosomal RNA (441 nucleotides) under uncultured bacterium. RNAcentral's name for it is "partial 16S ribosomal RNA". It matches the Rfam family "Bacterial small subunit ribosomal RNA", at positions 339 to 795 of the family's 1533-position model. The record is from RNAcentral.